GGUUAAGUGACUAAGCGUACACGGUGGAUGCCUGGGCAGUCAGAGGCGAUGAAGGACGUACUAACUUGCGAUAAGCGCAGAUAAGGCAGUAAGAGCCGUUUGAGUCUGCGAUUUCCGAAUGGGGAAACCCAACUGCAUAAGCAGUUACUGUUAACUGAAUACAUAGGUUAACAGAGCAAACCGGGGGAACUGAAACAUCUAAGUACCCCGAGGAGAAGAAAUCAACCGAGAUUCCGGUAGUAGCGGCGAGCGAACCUGGAUUAGCCCUUAAGCACUCGGUGAAGUAGGUGAACAAGCUGGAAAGCUUGGCGAUACAGGGUGAUAGCCCCGUAACCGACGCUUCAUCGAGCGUGAAAUCGAGUAGGGCGGGACACGUGAUAUCCUGUCUGAAUAUGGGGGGACCAUCCUCCAAGGCUAAAUACUCCUGACUGACCGAUAGUGAACCAGUACCGUGAGGGAAAGGCGAAAAGAACCCCUGUGAGGGGAGUGAAAUAGAACCUGAAACCGUGUACGUACAAGCAGUAGGAGCACCUUCGUGGUGUGACUGCGUACCUUUUGUAUAAUGGGUCAGCGACUUAUAUUCAGUGGCAAGGUUAACCGUAUAGGGGAGCCGUAGCGAAAGCGAGUCUUAACUGGGCGCUCAGUCUCUGGAUAUAGACCCGAAACCGGGUGAUCUAGCCAUGGGCAGGUUGAAGGUUGAGUAACAUCAACUGGAGGACCGAACCGACUAAUGUUGAAAAAUUAGCGGAUGACUUGUGGCUAGGGGUGAAAGGCCAAUCAAACUCGGAGAUAGCUGGUUCUCCCCGAAAGCUAUUUAGGUAGCGCCUCGGACGAAUACUACUGGGGGUAGAGCACUGUUAAGGCUAGGGGGUCAUCCCGACUUACCAACCCUUUGCAAACUCCGAAUACCAGUAAGUACUAUCCGGGAGACACACGGCGGGUGCUAACGUCCGUCGUGGAGAGGGAAACAACCCAGACCGCCAGCUAAGGUCCCAAAGUAUUGCUAAGUGGGAAACGAUGUGGGAAGGCUCAGACAGCUAGGAUGUUGGCUUAGAAGCAGCCAUCAUUUAAAGAAAGCGUAAUAGCUCACUAGUCGAGUCGGCCUGCGCGGAAGAUGUAACGGGGCUAAGCA
RNAcentral lists this ribosomal RNA (1132 nucleotides) under Vibrio cholerae. RNAcentral's name for it is "partial 23S ribosomal RNA". It matches the Rfam family "Bacterial large subunit ribosomal RNA", at positions 1 to 1188 of the family's 2925-position model. The record is from RNAcentral. Lineage: Bacteria; Pseudomonadati; Pseudomonadota; Gammaproteobacteria; Vibrionales; Vibrionaceae. RNAcentral also lists the same sequence under 3 other names.